RNAcentral lists this long non-coding RNA (308 nucleotides) under Mytilus galloprovincialis (Mediterranean mussel). The record is from RNAcentral. Lineage: Eukaryota; Metazoa; Mollusca; Bivalvia; Mytilida; Mytilidae.
AAAAAAGUAAAACCACAAAAAUACUGAACUCAGAGGAAAAUCAAUUCGGAAAGUCCAUAAUCACAUGGCAAAAUCAAAUAACAAAACGCAUCAAAAACGAAUGGACAAGAACUGUCAUAUUCCUGACUUGGUACAUGCAUUUUCAAAUGUAGAAAAGGGUGGAUUGAACCUGGUUUUAUAGCUAGCUAAACCUCUCACUUGUAUGACAGUCGUAUCAAAUUUCAUUAUAUUGUCACCGAUGCGUGAACAAAACAAACAGACACAAUAGGUAAAAAUGUCAAAAAUAGGGGUACAGCAGUCAACAUUGU